UUGUCCACCAGUAAGAAUGUUAAGGCAAAGGUAAGAAAAUGGAACUUUAGAGAGUUAGGGGAAAAUGUGGUUGUUCCCCUAGAGACAGAAUGUGCUCCUCUUUUUUUUUUUUUUUUGUCUUUUGUCUUUUUAGGGCCACACUCAUGGCAUAUGGAGGCUCCCAGGCCAGGGGUCUAAUCGGAGCUACAGCUGCCAGCCUACACCACCGCCACAGCAAAUGUCAGAUCCAAGCCAUGUCUGUGACCUACACCACAGCUCACGGCAAUGCUAGAUCCUUAACCCACUGAGCGAGGCCAGGGAUCAAACCUGCAACCUCAUGGUUCCUAGUCAGAUUCGUUUCCGCUGUGCCACAACGGAAACUCCCAGAAUGUGCUCCUCUUUGCUGUUCUCUGGCUCUAGCUAGAGAGAACAGUGGGGAAAAAUAAACACAUGAUGACUUCGAGUUUUAGUUAUCCCAUGACCCAAGAGGGAAUUUCUUACUUUAAGGAAGUAGAGCCAAGGGGAAAAUGGACAUAACGGGAAAGAUGGGAUUGUUGCCCCACACCUGGUCUGCCCGGCUGGUGAUUUUUAUAAUUGGCUCUACUUCUCUGGAGAACCCUGACUCAUUUACUGAUUCAGCUAAAGGAGGAGAGAGACUUCCUUGGAGGACCUGGUCCCCUGAGGCCAAUAGAUCUGAAGGUCAGGCUGGGAGACGGGGACUGAGGCGGAUCCAGCUGCUCUUGAAGGGAGCACAAGAAAGGUGAGAGAAACACAAACAAAUUAGAAACAGUGACCGAGGCAAAAGCAUCUCACGGAUGAAGAGAAGCAAGAUCUCAGGACAGACUGGACGGCACCUUUGGUGGAGGGGUCUUUGGGGGCACUGUGCAAAGAGCACCCACAGUUACAACAGUUGGGGGUGCCCCUGAGGAGCCUGACCCCGGUCUGGGUGGACCAGGGAUUCACAUUUACUCAAAGCUCUGAGGUGACCCAAUGAGGUGAAGAAAACCAUUUAGGCACUAGGUCAGGUUCACCAUCAAUCUCACCAACCUCAGCUCAUCAAAGCUCUAUUUGAGGGUCUCUGGGGAGGCAGACACGACAGAUGGAGACACUGGUUUGCUUCAGCUCCAAGGAAGGUCAUCCAGAAACUCAAGGAAGCUAAGGAAGGAGCAGCAGAGGUGGACACUACGAAAGAGAGGGCCUGAUGGGAAACGGCUCCUUAGAGGCAAGUUGUCUGUCUCAUAAAGAGAGAAGCGCCAAGAUGUAUUUCAACAUCGGGCCAUUUGGGCAGAUAGAAGUCAUAACUUUAUAGCCUAGGGUUGGGACCCCAGGGCAAAAGGCAAGGGUGAGUGGGGCUUGGAGACCAGGAGGGAGCAAAGGUGGGACUCAGGCUGGCAGAGGACACAAGCCUGGCCAGGACCAGGACAGGUGAGGAACCAACCGGAGAGGCAGGCAAACCCAUCAAAUACAUACCUGAUCCUUUCCUGGUGGCCCAGUGGGUUAAGGAUCCGGCGUCGUCACUGCUGUGGCUCAGGUUCAGUCUCUGGCCCAGGAACUUCUGUGCACCGUGGACGCCACCAAAAAUAAAAAAAUAAAAAACAAACCA
RNAcentral lists this long non-coding RNA (1582 nucleotides) under Sus scrofa (pig). RNAcentral describes it as "lncRNA (ENSSSCG00070021765.1)". The record is from RNAcentral. Lineage: Eukaryota; Metazoa; Chordata; Mammalia; Artiodactyla; Suidae.